UGCUACUCCCAGGACAGAGGUUCUCCCGAUCCCAUCACUGGCUUGCACCUGGUGUGCUGGGACAGUCAUUGCCGCCGAACUUCCCCGCAAGUGGGACUUGGAGGAUCAUCCUUGCAGACAACAUGGACAGGGACAGAGCGGAGAGGAGAAAGGCGCCGGAAAAGGAGAGGAAUGUGCAGCAGGAGAUGCUUGUACAUCUCAGGCAGCAGACAGACAUGCUGCAGUCAGACUCUGGUGGACCUGCAGGUUCAACAAUCCCAUGCUAAACCUCUCUCUGCAGCCCAUAGAGAACUGCAUAUCAGGACCUCCCUACACCCCUGCAACAUUCCCCAUGGCAUCAGGCAUUGCUGAACUACCCCUACCCCUCCACUUCUGGGACAUUAAAGACAUUCACAGCUUCACAUGUCUUUCACAGCAAGCUAGCCUCCAGAGAAUCAUCACGUUCCCUGUGGCUCCUCUUGCGGCUCUGCAAAUACCGGAGGAUCAGGUGGAUAUGCGCGCAACACUCAUCACAAUAGUGCAGAGCUGUGCAAGAUCUAUGCUUCUGUCACAGAUGGCAGACCGUGAGGAGGGACGUUCAGGUUUGUGCAGGUGAUUUUGAAAAGGACACAAAAUAUCAUGGGAUGCAGAUGAAAUUAUGAGAUAGAGAACACUGCAUUGUAGGAAGUUGAACCCAUGCUACCAGACACCCUGUGUGAUUCGUUUCAGCCCCACGAAGCAUUGCAAAACCUUCUCAAAACACCCUGCGCUACAUGGCGGCAAGUUGCACAAUGGGACAGCUACCCACAGUUCACUGCUCUCUGCAUCAAUACAAGCGCUCCUAGUGAGAAUGCGCACUGCCGACACAAGGAGCAUAAUGUGGACACACAGAAGCAAUGUAAUAACUGCAGCAGCUUUGUGCCAGCAUAAUUUAGGUCUACAUAAUUUUGUAGUGUACACAUGGCCCAAAUCUCCUCUGCUGCUGACUGCUAUUAAUAUAGCUGCAUGUUUUACAACCCUUAUUUUUGCCAAAGGUUCAUUAUGCUAGGAGCAGACAACUAUCAUUUCUCCAGUUCUACAUUUAAGCUAACUGAGAUUGCACAAGGUCACAUCAGGUAGAACUGGGAUUAGAACUCAACUCUCCAAUAGUAUAGACCCAAGUCACUUGAAUGCUAACACAGUCUUUUGCCACAAAGUUGUUCACUGUAUAUGUUUUCUAGCCACUGCUGAAAUCAAUAGAAAUGUUUCCCUUCCAGAUCCAGGAACAGAACCCAAGAAUUCUGAUUUCUCACCAUCCUUGGUCAUUAAAUGGCUAUGCAGCCCACUUGAAAAGUGUGUUAGUUCAAGUGGUUAAGAGAAGGCAUUCAGCUGGGAAGGCCUUGUGUUCAAACUCAGUUGCUGAUCCGUGAUGGGGAUGCUGUGGUUCUAAGUGAUGGAAUUUCUGUUCUGCUAAUUAAGGUUGUAAUGAAGUUUAUUUUUAAAACCAAAUUUUGUCAGAUUUGAGAGGAUGCAAAUUGUCAAAUCAGCCUGAACUUAUGUUGAGGGCCUGAGAGACGGUCCAUGAAGUCACUCCUAGGAGAGCCAAGGUCUUUCUGUGAUGCUCUGUACCUCGGGGGAACACCCAGCACCCCCAUGUUCAUCCUUGUAAAAUGAUUGUG
Molecule: long non-coding RNA, 1637 nt
Organism: Terrapene triunguis (Three-toed box turtle)
Lineage: Eukaryota; Metazoa; Chordata; Testudines; Emydidae
Exons: 3
Source: RefSeq, a predicted model, not a curated record